This 1024-nucleotide ribosomal RNA is filed under the name Tylenchidae gen. sp. 1 HMM2018. Its description in RNAcentral is "eukaryotic LSU rRNA". It matches the Rfam family "Eukaryotic large subunit ribosomal RNA", at positions 1 to 937 of the family's 3401-position model. Lineage: Eukaryota; Metazoa; Nematoda; Chromadorea; Rhabditida; Tylenchidae. The record is from RNAcentral.
GGACGGGAUUCACUCUUCGUGACUGGGACAGUCCAGCGCUAAAUCGUGUCUCCUGCGGAGCCAUGAAGUGUAGCGUAUAAAAGGGGGGCACUGUCUAGUCCAACAGUUUAAAUCUCCCUUGACUGGGGUUCCAGAGAAGGUGAAAGGCCUGUUCAACUGGAGGACUGGGCGGUUUGCGCUGUCUUGGAGUCGGGUUGUUUGGGAACGCAGCCCAAAGAAGGUGGUAAACUUCAUCUAAGACUAAAUAUGGCUACGAAACCGAUAGCAAACAAGUACUGUGAAGGAAAGUUGCAAAGCACUUUGAAGAGAGAGUUAAAGAGGACGUGAAACCGAUAAGGUGGAAACGGAUAGAGCUGACGUAUCUAGCUUGUAUUCAGCUGCUGUUUUGCGUAGGCCGAGUUGGCCAAUCCUGCUUUUGGUUGGUCGAUUCGCGCUGUGCGUGAUCCAGUAGUGCAUUUGCAAGUGGAGUGCGCCGAGAGAUACACUGCAGCGGUGGAAUGCCUACUUUGAGGACCCUCUUCGGAGGGAAACCCUGGUGGGCGGAAGACUGUUUGCGGUGUGCGCUAGCAGGAGUAUGGACUUAACACGAGUCGGUUGGCCGGUGAGUCUGCGGCGGGCAGCGGUCGCAUGCGAACGCUUCCGCUGUGGGCUUGCUUGCUGGCUUGGCUCUCAUACUCGAUCUCGGUGUAAAAGUCGGUCAUCUAUCCGACCCGUCUUGAAACACGGACCAAGGAGUUUAACAAAUAUGCGAGUCAUUGAGUGUUGAAAACUCAAAGGCGAAAUGAAAGUAAAGGCACCUUUAAUGGGCUGAUAUGCGAUCUUGGGCGUUUCGGCGCACGAGCGCAGCAUAGCCCCAUCCCGAUUGCUUGCAAUGGGGUGGAGGUAGAGCAUAUUUGCUGAGACCCGAAAGAUGGUGAACUAUGCCUGAGCAGGACGAAGCCAGAGGAAACUCUGGUGGAAGUCCGAAGCGGUUCUGACGUGCAAAUCGAUCGUCUGAUCUGGGUAUAGGGCGACGAGCUUGGUG